GACGAACGCUGGCGGCGUGCUUAACACAUGCAAGUCGAACGGAAAGGCUCCAGCUUGCUGGAGUACUCGAGUGGCGAACGGGUGAGUAACACGUGGGUAAUCUGCCCUGCACUCUGGGAUAAGCCUGGGAAACUGGGUCUAAUACUGGAUAUGACCUUUCUCCUUAUGGGGUUUGGUGGAAAGUUUUUCGGUGUAGGAUGAGCCCGCGGCCUAUCAGCUUGUUGGUGGGGUGAUGGCUUACCAAGGCGACGACGGGUAGCCGGCCUGAGAGGGUGAUCGGCCACAUUGGGACUGAGAUACGGCCCAGACUCCUACGGGAGGCAGCAGUGGGGAAUAUUGCACAAUGGGCGGAAGCCUGAUGCAGCGACGCCGCGUGAGGGAUGACGGCCUUCGGGUUGUAAACCUCUUUCAGCAGGGACGAAGCGUAAGUGACGGUACCUGCAGAAGAAGCACCGGCUAACUAUGUG
RNAcentral lists this ribosomal RNA (467 nucleotides) under uncultured bacterium. Its description in RNAcentral is "partial 16S ribosomal RNA". It matches the Rfam family "Bacterial small subunit ribosomal RNA", at positions 28 to 507 of the family's 1533-position model. The record is from RNAcentral.